Molecule: ribosomal RNA, 484 nt
Filed under: uncultured bacterium
Lineage: Bacteria
Description: partial 16S ribosomal RNA
Rfam family: Bacterial small subunit ribosomal RNA
Source: RNAcentral
AUUGAACGCUGGCGGCAGGCCUAACACAUGCAAGUCGAGCGGAUGAAGGGAGCUUGCUCCUGGAUUCAGCGGCGGACGGGUGAGUAAUGCCUAGGAAUCUGCCUGGUAGUGGGGGAUAACGUCCGGAAACGGGCGCUAAUACCGCAUACGUCCUGAGGGAGAAAGUGGGGGAUCUUCGGACCUCACGCUAUCAGGUGAGCCUAGGUCGGAUUAGCUAGUUGGUUGGGUAAAGGCCUACCAAGGCGACGAUCCGUAACUGGUCUGAGAGGAUGAUCAGUCACACUGGAACUGAGACACGGUCCAGACUCCUACGGGAGGCAGCAGUGGGGAAUAUUGGACAAUGGGCGAAAGCCUGAUCCAGCCAUGCCGCGUGUGUGAAGAAGGUCUUCGGAUUGUAAAGCACUUUAAGUUGGGAGGAAGGGCAGUAAGUUAAUACCUUGCUGUUUUGACGUUACCAACAGAAUAAGCACCGGCUAACUUCGUG